This 253-nucleotide ribosomal RNA is filed under the name uncultured bacterium. Its description in RNAcentral is "partial 16S ribosomal RNA". It matches the Rfam family "Bacterial small subunit ribosomal RNA", at positions 524 to 776 of the family's 1533-position model. The record is from RNAcentral.
UACGUAGGGUGCAAGCGUUAUCCGGAAUUAUUGGGCGUAAAGCGCUCGUAGGCGGUUUGUCGCGUCUGCUGUGAAAACCCGAGGCUCAACCUCGGGCCUGCAGUGGGUACGGGCAGACUAGAGUGCGGUAGGGGAGAUUGGAAUUCCUGGUGUAGCGGUGGAAUGCGCAGAUAUCAGGAGGAACACCGAUGGCGAAGGCAGAUCUCUGGGCCGUAACUGACGCUGAGGAGCGAAAGCGUGGGGAGCGAACAGG